This 757-nucleotide ribosomal RNA is filed under the name Bacillus licheniformis. RNAcentral's name for it is "bacterial SSU rRNA". It matches the Rfam family "Bacterial small subunit ribosomal RNA", at positions 25 to 760 of the family's 1533-position model. The record is from RNAcentral. Lineage: Bacteria; Bacillati; Bacillota; Bacilli; Caryophanales; Bacillaceae.
CGGUAACUACGCUGCGGGGUGUGCCUAGUACAUGCUCGUCGAGCGGACCGACGGGAGCUUGCUCCCUUAGGUCAGCGGCGGACGGGUGAGUAACACGUGGGUAACCUGCCUGUAAGACUGGGAUAACUCCGGGAAACCGGGGCUAAUACCGGAUGCUUGAUUGAACCGCAUGGUUCAAUCAUAAAAGGUGGCUUUUAGCUACCACUUACAGAUGGACCCGCGGCGCAUUAGCUAGUUGGUGAGGUAACGGCUCACCAAGGCGACGAUGCGUAGCCGACCUGAGAGGGUGAUCGGCCACACUGGGACUGAGACACGGCCCAAACUCUUACGGGAGGCAGCAGUAGGGAAUCUUCCGCAAUGGACGAAAGUCUGACGGAGCAACGCCCCGUGAGUGAUGAAGGUUUUCGGAUCGUAAAACUCUGUUGUUAGGGAAGAACAAGUACCGUUCGAAUAGGGGGGUACCUUGACGGUACCUAACCAGAAAGCCACGGCUAACUACGUGCCAGCAGCCGCGGUAAUACGUAGGUGGCAGGCGUUGUCCGAAAUUAUUGGGCUUAAAGCGCGCCCAGGCGGUUUCUUUAAUUCUGAUGUAAAACCCCCCGGCUCACCCGGGGAGGGUCCUUUGAAACUGGGGAACUUGAGUGGCAAAAAAAGAAAAUUGAAAUUCCACGUGUGGCGGUGAAUGCGUAAAAAUGGGAGAAACCCCGUUGGCACAGGGGAACUUCUGGUUUUUAAUCGGCCGUUAAGGCCCAAAAGC